CCUACAUACAUAAAAGUGCGAAAGGUCUUCCAGGACUUAUAUCGUGGUUUCCCCAUCAUCAUUAUCUUCCCCUUCCAUUCUUUCAUUACUUCAAUCAACAAUAAGCUCAAACAUGUCAUCAUUCCACUCCACAAUACCAUACCUCCAUAAUCUGAUUAAAUCCUAACUCAAAAGUUCAUCUGCAUGCACGGCCAUGUAACCAUUUGUUUUCUAUUUCUAUAAAUUACGUUUUUUAAUUUUUGGUUCUCUUGAAUUAAUCAUCAUUUUUCUUAAAUUUUUAAUUGAUUAUCGUGUUUCGUUUUAGGUUUACAUAAAUGAGCCUAGCCAUGGUAUUAAUUUUGUUUAAAGAUAGUUUCAAGAUCAUGAUGAAUUCUAGCUUCUAAGAUAAUUUAUAGGAAACUAUACUAUUUGAGAUUAUUUCUCUUCUAUAAAAAAUAUUUGGUUUUUUAAUUUGUUGUAAAAUCUAAGUUAGAGGCGUUUGAGGAACGGCGAGAAAUGCCUGUAGAUUUGACACUUGCACCUUCAUCUAUUCUCUUUAAUGUGAAAUUAAAGGGAUACAAAAGGGCAAAACUCAAGAAUAGUGAAUACUGGACGGGAUUAGGAGAAAAGGGCAGACGGUGGAGUUUCUGUUGGUUUUGGAUGGACUCAAAGAUGGAGAUUUGUUUUGGGAUGACGUUGUGCAGAUAAGAUUCAUCUAUGGAGAAAGCUAAUGGGCCGAAGUUGGGAUUAGGCUUUGUCUGAGUAGAGUCACCCAUCGGAGAAAAAUGGCAGCUGCACGAAGGCUGCUCUCCGCGACGCUAUACAGAGUCCUAUCAUGGACCGAAGUUUGCUUCAUCAAAACUGUCAACCAAUGUACGGCCUUAACCUAGUGCUGAGGAGCACUUAUGUUCGCCCACUGUACAAGCAAAUAUGUAUGCACACACCACAUUCCAUUGGCACUUUGAGCUUGACAAAAUGGCAAUUUCUCUUCUACCGUCCCAUCCUCUUUCCCUCCAAACCCAGAAUUCCUUUCUUCAAACUAACUUCAAAACCCAUUUGACCCAUUGAAACUAGGCCUUUUAGAACCCAUUUAACAAAAAUCCUUGCUCAAUUUUAUUCUUUAAAGAAGGUUUAAUACAGGUAGGACGAACAUAACCCAACAUGACUUAUUUUUUGAUGCCUGAAUUUUUAUUUUUCGAUUUCCUCUUGGAAUGGGGUUUUGUUUUCAUUACCUCUACUCUUUGGAUAAAUCUACAUUUUUUAUUUGUAAUUUUUGUGAAUGCUGCAUUAGUUCCUAUAUAUUUUUAAAAAAUAUAUUGUGUAGGUUCUUACACUGGAAAUUUUUGUUUCUUAAAAUUUUAGAAAACUAUAUUUUGUACUGUCUGAAUCUACUAGAUUUCAAGCAAGUCACCUAGGUCAAGACAAAGAUUUUGGUUUUGUAAAGCCUCAUUUAGAUAUUUUCUUCUAGCUUUGGGUUAAUUUAGGAAAGCUUUUAGGAUUUCAUGAUUUGGUAUAUUUAAUAUAUGUGCAAUGUUUUCCACUAUUUCAGUUAUAUUUUUUAUCACCCACGGCAGAUUGGCUAUUCUGAAAUUACGUUUUCUUGGAUUGCUUCAUGUUUUUAGUUUUACCAUUUUCUUUUGGUGAAAUUUGAGAUUUUGUGUUAAUUGAUGGGAGGAAUGUGUGCUUUCAAAUACAACUCACUCAAUUUCUUAGCAGCCUUUAGUAGAUUCUCAUCUCCAAUCUAAGCCUACAUUAUUGUGUAUCUAAUGAAAAAAUGAAAUGGUUAUACAUUUUUCUUCGUCCUACAAUGCUUUUCUAUAACAUGGAAGUCAUAUUCUUGUGUGAAAAUAAUUGUUUUAAUCAUAUUGUAGAGAUUACUGUUUCAAUUUCUGCUAUAUAGCAAGUUAUUUAAGAAUCUGAGUACCAUGCUUGGAAUUCAGUGAAAUAUUUUGCGUCUGCUGUCGUUUUUAAUGAGAGGAUGAUAAUUCCAGUAUCUAGAAAUCGACAGAGGAGCCUAAUCUUUUCUAUUUUUAAUUUUUUGAUGUUUUGGUAUCUUGUGAUUAACUAAGUUCCCUAAAUUUUCAUCUUUACUUCGUUGCCUGCUUGUGUUUUUCAUAUGAUAGUUUAUGUGAGGAUUUUAAUUGACAGCAAUCUAGAUACAGAUUCAUUUAUAUUUGUAUUACUCUUUUAAUCAUUUGUUUAGCCUUGAAUAUGUCAUUUGAUAUUUACCUUCAAGUUCCAUAUAUUUUUCUAUUUAUACAGGUGAAAGAAAGGACUUGUUCAUCGAGGGAGGCCUUUUCUUCGUUUGUUUGUGUAAGUAGAAUGGUGCUCAGUGUACAUCUGUUGAUUUGGUUAUUAUUUAGUGAAUCUUUACUCUUUAACGAGAUAUUGAAUUGAAUAUUGGUGAGUUGAUAUUUAUGCUAUGAUUUUUCUACUUUUCUUGUUCGCUCUUAUGGGAUUUUUAAAAUGGCAUAAUCUUCGAUUGUGAGAUAAAGCACACAUUGUUGAUGGGGUUGGGUGUAAGAAAAGACUAUUUUUUGAAUAAUUUUGACCGUUUUUUGGAAAGGAAACUGUGAAAAAGAAGGGAAUUCACUUAAAAUGCCAAGUAUAUAAUGUUGAAGAUAGAAGUGCAAAAGAAGUCAGAACAUUGAACUGUAGAUGCAAUUUAUCGUUAGAAAUAUAGUGAAAAUAAAGGGAUUAUCUGAUUUUGUAAGUUAGGCAAUUUAGAUUUCAUACUUUGGAAUCGAGAUGGUUUCCUUUGUCUUUUCCAUUAUCAUAGUUUAAUUGCUUUUUAUUUUUUUAUUGAAGCCUUUUUUAUUCUAUAUCGGGAACUGAUAAAUUAUGUCUAUGCAUAAAACUGCCAAAACUGUAUUGACUGCAUAUUCUUUUCCUUCUAAGAAUCCAAGUGUGAACUAGCUAUUUUGUACUGAACUUCCGCUACUUCCAUAAUCACAGUAGGAAAAACAUUGCAAAAAUUUUACAAGAUAUGUGAUUGAUGUAGAUUUCAUGAUGGUGUUGACUGCAUUGAUAGUAUAUUGGAAAGAACAAUGAUGUCUCUGCUACAAUUGAAGCCAACGUUUUUAUCAUAAUUAUUCUUGCUAAUAUUUUUUUACACACAUUAAUGGGAGCUUUCCACCUGCCUAUCCUCAAUGUUUUCAACUUAAUUGUCGGAGAUGGCUACUCUUAAGAAGUUGGAAUUCAUGAGAGAACUCAGAAAGGUACUCUACAUAUUCUAUUUUUCUUUUUGUUGUUAUACAUGUUCUCGAUGAAGAGUAAUUUGGUGAAAGUUACCAAACAAAAAUUUUGAUUUACGUUCUCCAACUUUUCUUGGUAAGUUCCCACAAUUGGUGUUGUUGGAAGUUUUGCCCUUGUUAAGAUACUUGAGCAAAUUGGAAAAUAAGGUCAACUCCUACUUGAUUUUGAUUUCAAAUGCUCGAUUAAUUUAUUUAAUGAAUCUAAAUCUUGUAAUGAUGAGUUUUAUGAUACAUAUAAUUUGUUUUCUUAAUAAUUCGACCUGACAUCAAGAAAUGUCCCAAAUGAACUUAGUUGGACUCCUUCGAAACAAUGCAAUAAUCUAUAUGAACAGUUAUAUUAGGUCACAAGUUUUAUUCACAUUCAGUAAUGUUUCUUAAGAUCAGUUGGAGAUCGCAUGAAUAUACACUCAUUUUAAAAUGAUGGUGAAAAAAAUUCUAUUAUGAAGCAUAUGUUCAUGCAUCAUCUUAUUUUACUGAUAAACCUCCUAUACGGUUCACUUACAAGAGGCGUCACAAGAAUUUGGUGUAAAGGGAAUAUUAGUUGUUAGAUUGGCUGAAAAUAAAUCAGUUAUGCUGACGUCACAUUUACUUAUAAAUACCAGUAGUAGAGUCUAGAAGAUCAUUCAGAAAACAGGAAAUUCUGAGUCAUUAGGAGAGGGGCAACUCUCGAAACUUGCCAAUUUACUCUUUUCUUUCAUACUGUUCAUUUCAUUCCGUAUCAAUUAAAUUCUUCUUCAAUUCCAUUAUUUUACUUACAAUUCAGCUUUCUAUUAACUCGAAUUGCAAUUGUGUGCUGCUAAUUCAUUGGGCUUGAGCAGAUCUUACCAUUUGGUAUCAGAGCCGGUCAAAUUUCUGGGAAACGGAUGCCAGUCACGAGAAUGGACGUCAGAAUUGAAGCAUUGGAGAAAUCCGUACCUUCCUUGAGUGCGAGCAUGGUCGAAUUGAAAGGAGAUGUGGAACAUUUGAAUAAUCAAGUGGGACUGGAACUCGGGAAGAUGAACCAGAGGCUCGAAGCGAGCCUCGCGCUGGGUAGACGGGAGUUGAACGACGGGUUAUGGCUAAUAGAGAAGAUGUUGAAGGGCUCGAAAUUAAGUUCCUCCAGCAGUCCAGGAGAAGAGAGUGGGAGGAUGUCGACCACUUCUGUCGAGGAGCAGCCGGAAGUGGAAAACGUGAAUUCCGAGAAGAUGGCGGUUGCCUCUGUUGAAGGUAACUAUCGAAAACUUGAAUUGCCACUGUUCAAUGGAGUCGAUCCUGACUCCUGGAUAUUUAGAGCUGAGAGGUACUUCCGAAUGAACAAGUUCGAUGAUGUUGAGCGAGCUGUGGCUGCGGGUGUAUGUAUGGAAGGAGCAGCGCUAUCCUGGUUUCAAUGGGAGGAUGGACGGCGACCCAUGCACAACUGGACUGAACUUAAACGGCGACUACUGGAGAGGUUUCGAGAUACCCAGUAUGGAACCUUACACCAAAGGUUCCUGGCUAUCAAGCAAACAGGAACGGUAGCUGAGUUCAGGGAGCGAUUUGAAGUCAUGGCAGCACCCCUGAAAAAUGUCAGUGACGAUGUACUGGAAGGAGUUUUCAUUAAUGGGUUGGACGAAGAAGUGCAGGCUGAAGUACUGAUGGCGAAUCUGGUGGGACUAUCCCAGAUUAUGGACUUGGCCCAGCGGGUUGAAGAUAGGAACAACCGAAUCAACAAGGGAAGGGAGAAGGAGCGACCGCGAUUUAGGAAUGUGAUGAAUCCUAACCCGGUUCGAGGGGAACAGAGAACUCUUCCCUGGAAUGUGACGAGGGGAGUUAAUUCACCUGAUAAGGUGGGCACGAAUCUGCCGAACACCACUUUUGGGUUUAAAAAGCUGACCCAGGCUGAAAUCCAAGCUAAGAAGGAGAAGGGAUUAUGCUUCCGAUGUGACGGGAAGUACACCGUUGGACACCAGUGCCGUAACAAGGAAUUACAUGUGCUGUUGGUAGAUGACGACCUGGAAAAUUAUGAGUUGGAAGGAGAAAUACCGGAAGGGACAGCUGACUGUAACGAACUGGAAGGUGUGGAGUUGUCAAUGAACUCNGUGGUGAAUCGUUGUUUGGAGACUUAUCUCAGGUGUUUUGCGAACAGCCAUCCUCGCUCGUGGUCUGACUGGAUUCCAUGGGCUGAAUUCUGGUAUAACUCAUCCUUCCACACUUCCACUAAGGCCACCCCUUUUAAAGUUGUUUAUGGGAGGGAUCCUCCACCGGUCAUACGUUAUGGGACGCAGCACACACCGGUGGCAGACCUAGAUCAACAGCUCCAGCUGCGAGAUGAAAUGAUUAGUGCCUUGAAGUUACAAUUGGAAAAGGCCCAAAACCGGAUGAAAGAAGUAGCAGACACCAGAAGAAGGGAGGUUCAGUUUCAGGUGGGAGAUCGAGUUUACCUUAAACUCCAGCCAUACCGACAGAGGUCCUUGGCCAAGCGUGCUAAUGAGAAGCUAUCACCGCGAUUUUUUGGGCCCUAUGUCAUUGUUCAGAAAAUAGGUGCAGUGGCUUAUAAGCUCCAGCUUCCAGAAGGCACAAACAUCCACCCAGUGUUCCAUGUUUCUCAACUACGGAAGGCAGUGGGAUCUACCACUUCCAUCCAGCCACUCCCCACUCUUCUCAGCCCUGAUUUAGAGUGGAAAGUGAAACCUGCUGGUGUGUUGGGCAUCAGGCCAGCAAGUGAUCUUGACAAUACCGGGCCAGAGGUACUGAUUCAGUGGGAGGAUCUUCCCCCUUUCGAGGCAUCAUGGGAGCCAUUUGAGCUGAUCAAUUCUCAGUUUCCUGAAUUCCACCUUGGGGACAAGGUGCUUUCGAUGGCGGGGGAUAUUGAUAAACCUCCUAUACGGUUCACUUACAAGAGGCGUCACAAGAAUUUGGUGUAAAGGGAAUAUUAGUUGUUAGAUUGGCUGAAAAUAAAUCAGUUAUACUGAUGUCACAUUUAUUUAUAAAUACCAGUAGUAGAGUCUAGAAGAUCAUUCAGAAAACAGGAAAUUCUGAGUCAUUAGGAGAGGGGCAACUCUCGAAACUUGCCAAUUUACUCUUUUCUUUCAUACUGUUCAUUUCAUUCCGUAUCAAUUAAAUUCUUCUUCAAUUCCAUUAUUUUACUUACAAUUCAGCUUUCUAUUAACUCGAAUUGCAAUUGUGUGCUGCUAAUUCAUUGGGCUUGAGCAGAUCUUACCAUUUACAUGGGAUACUGUAUGGAUCUUUACCAUGCUGUUUCUUUGGAAAGUUCCUACUCACAAAUUAAUGAAAAAUGAUAUUAAUUUUUCACAGAGAAUGUCUAGAAAAGGUGCUUAUUUUCCUUCUUUGAGUAUGUCUAUGGAACUACAACGAAUUUUAUCUGAGCAAUAGAGAUGCUGAUGGGAGUGGAUUCGGUCUACAUGAUUAUUAAAGGGAUAUGAAAAAAUAAAUUAGGAAAAGCUAAAAAAAUUACAGCUUUGUAUAUAAAAAUUGGAGUUUUGUGAGAAUUUUGAGUUCUUUAUUCUAUGCAGAUAACAUGUUUGAAGAAAUUCAGUGAAGAAUGAAAUCUGAAAAGGGUCAAGAAGAGGAUAAGAAAAGGAUGAGGAGUUUUGUCCUAGAAAAUAUGCAACAUUACCUACUAAUAAUGCCAAAGGUACCUAUUUUUAUAAGUACUAAUUUUUUCAUUCACGUUCAAAGUAAUUGAAUUGCUUAUGCAAAUAGAUAUGAUGAUUGGUUGGAUAAUGGUUUUAGCGUUUUAGAGCUGAGAAAAUAUGGAAAUUUUUGUUCAAUUUUUAAUUUUGUACCAUAAUCUUCUCCCUGUUCAUUUCAAAACAAAUUUAUUCCCCCUCCCCUAAGUUGGUCUUAUAAACAUGAGUUAUUAAAUUGAUUAUUCGAAUGUCUUAUCAAGAUUUUCGUCUGUAUUGAUUAUUUACUGCAGUAGGUGCUAAGAUCAUGAUCCAACUCAAAGAGGAAGAAUUCACACUGGAUAUAACAAAAAAAGUUGGAACUGUUACUUAUUCUUCAAUUUUCGAUAGCAGUUGCAAAACUCUCACCCUGAGAUCUUCCGUUGAUUCUGUGUAUGAGGUUAAGUAAUUUUUGUAAACCUGUGGUUGAUAUCUAGACCAUGGGAGCUUAAAGUAAAAUAUCAAAUAAAUGCUUGAGUUUGAGUUGGUUCCUUUGCAGCCGAAUGUAUGUUUAGCUGACUUGAUUCUAUCAUCUUUCUUUUCAGCUAAUGGAUAGAAAAUAUUUGACUUCAAGAGCCAACUUCCAUGUUUGGGAGUUGCUUAUAAAUGGUUUAAAUAAUAAAUAGAUAGAAACGAGCGAUGGAUAAGUGGGUACC
This 7533-nucleotide long non-coding RNA is filed under the name Olea europaea subsp. europaea. Lineage: Eukaryota; Viridiplantae; Streptophyta; Magnoliopsida; Lamiales; Oleaceae. The record is from RNAcentral.